Nilaparvata lugens (brown planthopper) is the source of this 133-nucleotide small nucleolar RNA. RefSeq annotates it as small nucleolar RNA snoR639/H1. NCBI's taxonomy places the organism in Eukaryota, Metazoa, Arthropoda, Insecta, Hemiptera, Delphacidae. The transcript has a single exon. The record is from RefSeq and is a predicted model, not a curated record.
ACCCCAUUUAAUUAAGCCGGCCAGGUCAAUGUCUGAGUGUUGUCAUGGUGUGCUAAGGAUGGGAACAUUAAUUAUACGAGUGUGUGUAUGGUUUCAAACUUUAUGUUUGUCAUCCAAAGGGUUAUCUCGUACA